Molecule: ribosomal RNA, 494 nt
Filed under: uncultured bacterium
Lineage: Bacteria
Description: partial 16S ribosomal RNA
Rfam family: Bacterial small subunit ribosomal RNA
Source: RNAcentral
GACGAACGCUGGCGGCGUGCUUAACACAUGCAAGUCGAACGGAAAGGCCUGCUUUCCCUUGUGGAUUGCGGGUACUCGAGUGGCGAACGGGUGAGUAACACGUGAGUGAUCUGUCCCCAACUUGGGUAUAAGCCUGGGAAACUGGGUCUAAUUCCCGAUAGGACUGCAGGGUGGUGCCUGUGGUGGAAAACGAUUUUCUAGUGGUUGGGGAUGAGCUCGCGGCCUAUCAGCUUGUUGGUGGGGUAAUGGCCUACCAAGGCGGCGACGGGUAGCCGGCCUGGGAGGGUGGACGGCCACAUUGGGACUGAGAUACGGCCCAGACUCCUACGGGAGGCAGCAGUGGGGAAUAUUGCACAAUGGGCGGAAGCCUGAUGCAGCGACGCCGCGUGGGGGAUGACGGCCUUCGGGUUGUAAACUCCUUUCGACCGCGAGGAAGCCACCUGGUUGGAAGGGUGGUGACGGUAGUGGUAGAAGAAGCACCGGCUAACUACGUG